Molecule: ribosomal RNA, 468 nt
Filed under: uncultured bacterium
Lineage: Bacteria
Description: partial 16S ribosomal RNA
Rfam family: Bacterial small subunit ribosomal RNA
Source: RNAcentral
GACGAACGCUGGCGGCGUGCUUAACACAUGCAAGUCGAACGGACAGGCCCUGCUGUUGUGGGCUGGUCGAUUGCGGAACGGGUGAGUAUCACGUGUGUAACCUGCCCCUGACUUACUGAUAACAUUACGGAACUGGGGCUAAUACCCGAUAUGAUCUCCUGCUGCAUGGUGGGGGUUCGUACGUUUCGGCGGUUGGGGAUGGACUCGCGGGUUAUCAGCUUGUUGGGGAGGUAGUGGCUUACCAAGGCUUUGACGGGUAGCCUGCCUGGGCGGGGGACCGGCCACAUUAGGACUGAGAUACGACCCAGACUCGAACCGGAGGCAACGGUGGGGAGUAGUGCACAAUGGACGGAAGCCUGAUGCAACAACGCCGCGUGCGGGAUGACGGGCUUCUGGUUGUAAACAAAUGUCGACUGUACCGAGGCGUGAGUGACGGUACCGGGUAAAGAAGCACCGGCUAACUACGUG